RNAcentral lists this ribosomal RNA (856 nucleotides) under uncultured bacterium. Its description in RNAcentral is "bacterial SSU rRNA". It matches the Rfam family "Bacterial small subunit ribosomal RNA", at positions 56 to 942 of the family's 1533-position model. The record is from RNAcentral.
UGCAGUCGACGCUCUAGUUUACUAGAGAGUGGCGGACGGGUGAGGAAUAUAUGGGUGAUCUACCCUCAAGUGAGGAAUACCACCGAGAAAUCGGUGACAAUACCGCAUACCAUUGCAGAGCAGAUCUGCACUGAAAGCCUUCGGGCGCUUGAGGAUGAGCCUGUACCCGAUUAGAUAGUUGGUGAGGUAAAAGCUCACCAAGUCGACGAUCGGUAGCUGGUCUGAGAGGACGAUCAGCCACACUGGGAUUGAGAACGGCCCAGACUCCUACGGGGGGCAGCAGUGAGGAAUAUUCGUCAAUGGGGGAAACCCUGAACGAGCAAUGCCGCGUGCAGGAAGACGGCCUUCGGGUUGUAAACUGCUUUUUUCGAGGAAGAGUACGGACGGUACUCGAAGAAUCAGCCCCGGCUAACUACGUGCCAGCAGCCGCGGUAAUACGUAGGGGGCGAGCGUUAUCCGGAGUUACUGGGCGUAAAGCGUCCGCAGGCGGUUCUUUAAGUUUGAACUGACAGUUCCUGGCUUAACCGGGGAAGUGGUUCGAAAACUGGAGAACUUGAGGGUCCGAGAGGAAGAUGGAAUUCCAGGUGAAGCGGUGAAAUGCGUAGAUAUCUGGAGGAACACCAAAGGCGAAGGCAGUCUUCUGGAGGAAACCUGACGCUCAGGGACGAAAGCUAGGGGAGCGAACGGGAUUAGAUACCCCGGUAGUCCUAGCCGUAAACGAUGACCACUAGAUGUAGGGGGUAUCGACCCCCCCCUGUGUCGAAGCUACGCAUGAAGUGGUCCGCCUGGGGGAGUACGGUCGCAAGAUUAAAACUCAAAGAAAUUGACGGGGACCCGCACAACCAGCGGAGCGUGU